GAUGAAGAACGUAGCGAAAUGCGGUACUUGGUGUGAAUUGCAGAAUCCCGUGAACCAUCGAGUCUUUGAACGCAAGUUGCGCCCGAAGCCAUUAGGCCGAGGGCACGCCUGCCUGGGCGUCACACGUCGUUGCCCCCCCAUCUACUCCUUCGGGAUUGCGGGGGGCGGAUGAUGGCCUCCCGUGCGCCUCGUCGCGCGGUUGGCAUAAAUGCCAAGUCCUCGGCGACGCACGCCACGACAAUCGGUGGUUGCGAAACCUCGGUUGCCCGUCGUGUGCGGUCGUCGCGCAUCGAGGGCUCGAAAAAAUUGCCGGGCUCCGGCUCGGCUUUCAACGCGACCCCAGGUCAGGCGGGGUUACCCGCUGAAUUUAAGCAUAUCAAUAAGCGGAGGA
RNAcentral lists this unclassified non-coding RNA (391 nucleotides) under soil metagenome. Its description in RNAcentral is "partial contains 5.8S ribosomal RNA, internal transcribed spacer 2, and large subunit ribosomal RNA". The stretch from base 1 to 122 matches the Rfam family "5.8S ribosomal RNA", at positions 35 to 154 of the family's 154-position model. The record is from RNAcentral.